UGUAAGUGAACUGCGGAGGGAUCAUUA
This 27-nucleotide ribosomal RNA is filed under the name Xylariales sp. 6a_co2. RNAcentral's name for it is "partial 18S ribosomal RNA". Lineage: Eukaryota; Fungi; Ascomycota; Sordariomycetes; Xylariales. The record is from RNAcentral.